This 4411-nucleotide long non-coding RNA is filed under the name Xyrichtys novacula (pearly razorfish). Lineage: Eukaryota; Metazoa; Chordata; Actinopteri; Labriformes; Labridae. The record is from RNAcentral.
ACACACACACACACACUGUUACACUGCUGACAUUUGUCUUUCAUCAUCAUGUAAAGGUCACCAGUCGGCCCUCUGCCAAACACACACACACACACACUGCUUUAUUAGCAUCACAUUAUCACUGUGUGUGUGUGUGUGUGUGUGUGUGUGUGUGUGUGUGUGUGUGUGUGUCUGUGUGUGUGUGUGUGUGUGUGUGUGUGUGUGUGUCAAUACUCUGAACACACUCCUCCUCUCUGCAUCCAAACAGCAGCAGCAGAGUCAGAGGUGACAUUUAGAGUCAAACUUUCUCAUCAACACUUGUAACCACGGCAACGCACAGGUACAGCAGAGCAUCAUGGGAACUGGAGGGUUAGGGCCCAGGUGGAGACAGACAGGUGAGGACAGGUGGAGACAGACAGGUGAGGACAGGUGGGGACAGAGGAGUCUGUGUUUCACAGUGAGACACCGUCAGCUUCAGUCCAACAGUUUACAGUCGGAGACACCUGAGUGUCCUCCAGGUGGACGUGGUUUUGGACUCCAGGUUGUCCUCCCAGCAGGACUGUCUCAGUUGUCUCUCACUGUAACUCUGUAGCGCUCCUUCACUUUAGUUCUCAAUCUUUUUAAAUAUUUCAAAUCCUUUAAAUUAGAAUAAACUUUUUUUUUCAUCAGCUCUGGAAACUCGAGAAAAAUAAUCAGAAACAAAAAUAAAUAAAUAAAAAUCAUCUCAGCUGUCUCCGUCUUUGACAGUAACUCCACCCUCCAAGAGACGUCCAGACAGUCCUCCUUUACCCUCGACCUCUGAAAACAAACAUUCACUAAAUAUGAGAGUUUAAUAAAUCAUAAUAAAGAGUUUAAAUCAUAAUAAAGAGUUUAAAUCAUAAUAAAGAGUUUAAAUCAUAAUAAAGAGUUUAAAUCAUAAUAAAGAGUUUAAAUCAUAAUAAAGAGUUUAAAUUAUAAUAAAAAGUUUAAAUCAUAAUAAAGAGUUUAAAUCAUAAUAAAGAGUUUAAAUCAUAAUAAAGAGUUUAAAUUAUAAUAAAGAGUUUAAAUCAUAUUAAAGAGUUUAAAUCAUAAUAAAGAGUUUAAAUCAUAUUAAAGAGUUUAAAUCAUAAUAAAGAGUUUAAAUCAUAAUAAAGAGUUUAAAUUAUAAUAAAGAGUUUAAAUCAUAUUAAAGAGUUUAAAUCAUAAUAAAGAGUUUAAAUCAUAUUAAAGAGUUUAAAUCAUAAUAAAGAGUUUAAAUCAUAAUAAAGAGUUUAAACCAUAAAAGAGUUUAAAUCAUAAUAAAGAGUUUAAAUCAUAAUAAAGAGUUUAAUAAAUCAUAAUAAAGAGUUUAAAUCAUAAUAAAGAGUUUAAAUCAUAAUAAAGAGUUUAAAUCAUAAUAAAGAGUUUAAUAAAUCAUAUUAAAGAGUUUAAAUCAUAAUAAAGAGUUUAAAUCAUAAUAAAGAGUUUUAAUCAUAAUAAAGAGUUUAAAUUAUAAUAAAGAGUUUAAAUCAUAUUAAAGAGUUUUAAUCAUAAUAAAGAGUUUAAAUCAUAUUAAAGAGUUUUAAUCAUAAUAAAGAGUUUAAAUUAUAAUAAAGAGUUUAAAUCAUAAAAGAGUUGAAUUAAUCAUAAUUCAAACACAGACUCCUGAAUAUUCAGUUAUUUUAACUCUGAUUAAAGUGGCAUUAAUGAGCCUCCAUACACUCUGACCUGCCUGAAAACAGACUGAACACUGAUGGACCAGAACAUGUCUCACUAUUGUCACAGGUGAGUGCGUGUGUGCGCGCGCGUGUUCCGUUGUUUUAGUCUGUUUCUGUUGCUCUGUGUGUUCAGCUCUUUGUAAUGAUCAAUAAAGUUUGGAUUGAUUUUCGUCCGGCGGUCACAUGACCCCGAAAAAGCGCACCACCUCGCGCUAUUUACCGAGGGAUCGGGAAGUGUUCCGGUUUGAUUCCAGGUGUGAAGAUGGCGGCAGGUAAGAGUGUGUGUGUGUGUGUGUGUGUGUGUGUGUGGUUGUGUUCCCUUUAAACACCGACAGAUCAGAGUUCAGAGGUAAACAGGUGAACUGUUGUUCAGGGUUCAGGACUUUCAGCUGCGGGGAAACUGUUGGUCUGAGUUUAGCUGCGCGGGAAACGGGAGCGCGCCAUGCGCACUUCCGGUACCGGCCCUCAGGCCGCGAGAGAGAGAGAGUGAGAGAGUCUUCGGUUAAAGGGAUAUUCUGUUGUAAAAUAAUUUAGGGUCAAACCCACCGUAACACUGAGUUAGACACCGACCGCUUCCUUCUCUAGUUAUACCAACUUUAGUAACGACCGCAGGAUAGUAAUACAGAGAGCCACGCCCCCAACUAAAACGCCACUCUAUAGCCACAAAUAAUGCUCAGAACAGCACCUAACUUCAUCAACAGGACAUAUAGGGUCACAGACAUAGUACUAGACACCAAACAUCUUUUUAACUUUGACUCAUUUCUUUAGCAAAGAGACUAAACACAACUCACCUACUCUCUUCCAGCAGACGCUUGUUUGUAGAGAGACCUCAGGCCAGUCUAUUACAGACUACAGCGGGGUGCCGCAGCUCAAGGAAGAACAUUUAUGAUCAUUUCUUCAUGGAAAUACAAUCAGACCGAGACGCUAAGACAGAAGAACUACCGCGUCUGACCAGGUAACACUCUCACCUGUCAUCGUAUUUCCUCACUCAUUCAUCCUCACCCUCUCACUCGUGUCUGAGCUUCAAAAACAGAUAAACAGGAUGACCUCUGACCUGAGUCUGCUGUGAACAAAACAGAGAAAAUCACAGAGACGGUGUCUGCACAAGUGUGUGUGUGUGUGUGUGUGUGUGUGUGUGUGUGUGUGUGUGUAUGUGUGUAAGCCUGCAGGCACAAACAUGAGGACACUUUGAAGCGUCGACUUGGACAGUCAGAGUCUUCAGGGACGACCAAUCUGCUGCAGCUGCUGCUGAGGGCUACCUGCACCUCAUUAUCAUAUCUGUGUGUGUGUGUGUGUGUGUGUGUGUGUGUCUGUGUGUGUGUGUGUGUGAAUCCUUCAGAGAAUCAAGAUGUUGGUCCAUAGUUUGUGCUGAGGCGGCGUUUAGACAGUUUGAGAGAGAGAGAGAGAGAGACUGUUCCUGCUUUAUGUCUUCUACAGAGGAGUUCAAUGAGUGUGUGUGCAUGUGUGCGCACUCAUGUAUGUAUGUGUGUGUGUGUGUGUGUGUGUGUGUACAGAACAGUCAGUCUUUGUCGUCGUCUCUGAAAGUCUCUUCUGUUGAUCAGAGUCAAACACCAAAGUCCAGGUCUGGUCCUUAAACCCGGUUUCUGUGGGUCCAGGUUCUCCUCCUCUGCUGGUUCAUGUCGAGGUCACAUGAUCAGAUUUGAUGAGAAGAGAGGCUGAAAUAAACUCCAGAACCGCUCCAAUCUAGAUGUGGUUUUUCAACGUUCGACAGUCCCUACCUGAUCUGUCUGUGAGGUGAAUUUUGUACAGACAGCAGGAAUCAUGUGACCUCACAGGAACCUGCAGAUUCACGUUUAAUAAUGAGUCGUCUCUCUAAAGACAGACACAUAGACAUAUAAGCAGUAGAUUGUGUCCUUCCAGAGGAGGAAAUCUACUUCUAGACUUCUAGAAUCAGCAUCUCCUCAUCCAUGGUGUCAUCGGGGUGAAAUGACGUCUAAAAACCUUUCACUUGUUCGUCUCCGCCCGUUUGCAUGGUGUGAAAUACGAUCCUCCUGAAACACGGAGUGUUUUAUUUUGAAAAGAAGCCGGAUGUUUUAUUUUGAAGUCUGUGCCCGACUUCCUUUCCAGCACGGGUUAAUCUGUGCUGAAUUUAUCCGCCAUGCUCCGGCGUCCAGAAAAAAUAGAACUCUUGUGAUCAGCUGAGGAGUCCGGCGAUCCGCAGAGGAACGGAAAGAAGUCGGUGUAAAUUGACACGUUAACUUGAAUGGUUACGAUCAGCUACGAUCGGAGGAUACGACCUUUUAGGAGACGAUCAGGAUGAAGGUGGAGAUCGGGGGUCAGACAGCAAGAGCAGAGUUCUGGUUCUGGUUCUUAGCUGCUUGUCAGGUGCAGAGGGUUAAAGUUUGGCUGAAUGUGGUCUGAGGAGCUCCUCCUCCUCCUCCUCCUCCUCCUCCUCCUCCUCCUCCUCCAACCACACCCAAAGAUCAGAGGGAGGUGAUGAGAGGAGGAGGUCAGAUGAAGAUAUUUAAUAUAAAUAAAAGAGUUAAAAUCUGUUCAACUUCCUCUCAGGAGAUUUACUGAGUUUAAAAGUUUCAUUAAAGAUUUUCAAAGUAAAAGUUCAAACCAAAGAUUUUCAAAAUAAAAGUUCACACUAAAGAAGAGAAUAACAAAAGUUUCCCUUUAAGGUUUAAAUUAAUUUAAUCAUGAGUGACAAACAACACACACACACACACACACACUCACACACACACACUCACACAUACACACACACACACACACACUCACAGCUGUCAGCA